CAACUCCCUCUCCUACCAAGAAAACCCCUAUAUUAACUAAAUUCUUUGAUCAAUUUAUUGCUUUGAAGAAUAUUCUGAGUUCCCAAGAAAAAAUCCCACUUUUCGAAUAUUUAAUAUGGCAUUGGAAGUCGAGGUAGUGGAAGAAGUGGAAUUGAGAUAUCAGAAGCAGCCAGUGGAUGAUGAGAGCCUGCAGAAUGACGUCUAGAAGGCAACAGAAUAUGGAGACAUGAGGAAGCUGCAGCGCCUGGUUGAAAGCAAGUUUGCUCCAUUUCUGAGUCUGAUGCCCUUUUUACUACACUCUCCAAUGGCCGGACUGCAACAUCAUUGAGGUGCACCAGUUACAAAUAAUGGAAAAUUUAUUGUAUAAGAGAGGGAUUAAUUACCCAGUUAUUUACUCAUUAAGAGCACAAAGAACAACUAACAACCCCCAAUAUAUCUUUCAUUAUUUGUUUCCGUCAAUGUCCUAGACAAUAAAACAUAUUUGUAGAAGAAGUUCAGAAACACAGGGAGUUGCCUACUUCUGACUUCCACUGUUUCUUCAAUCCCUUAUACCAGUUCAGUCAACUCCAUUUCCUUCCAAGAAAAACCCUAUAUUAACUAAAUUCUUUGAUCAAUUUAUUGCUUUGAAAAAUAUUCUGAGUUCCCCCGAAAAAAUUUCGACUAUUUAAUAUGGCAUUGCAGAUCGAGGUAGUGGAAGAUGUGGAAUCGAAAUAUCGGAAGCAGCCAGCGGCUAAGAUGGUGGUGGAUGAAAAAAGCCAGCAGAAUGAUGUUUGCAGGCAACAGCUUAUGGAGACAUGGAGAAGCUGCAGCGCCUGGUUGACAGCGAGGUUUCUCCAUUUCUGAGUCUGAUGCCUUUCUUUACUACACUCUCCAGUGGCCGGACUGCAACAUCGAGGUGCACCAUUUUAUAUAU
RNAcentral lists this long non-coding RNA (913 nucleotides) under Olea europaea (common olive). RNAcentral describes it as "long non-coding RNA (OEUR_LNC011192)". The record is from RNAcentral. Lineage: Eukaryota; Viridiplantae; Streptophyta; Magnoliopsida; Lamiales; Oleaceae.